This 301-nucleotide ribosomal RNA is filed under the name uncultured bacterium. RNAcentral's name for it is "partial 16S ribosomal RNA". It matches the Rfam family "Bacterial small subunit ribosomal RNA", at positions 509 to 807 of the family's 1533-position model. The record is from RNAcentral.
CAGCAGCCGCGGUAAUACAGAGGGUGCGAGCGUUAAUCGGAUUUACUGGGCGUAAAGCGUGCGUAGGCGGCUUUUUAAGUCGGAUGUGAAAUCCCUGAGCUUAACUUAGGAAUUGCAUUCGAUACUGGGAAGCUAGAGUAUGGGAGAGGAUGGUAGAAUUCCAGGUGUAGCGGUGAAAUGCGUAGAGAUCUGGAGGAAUACCGAUGGCGAAGGCAGCCAUCUGGCCUAAUACUGACGCUGAGGAACGAAAGCAUGGGGAGCAAACAGGAUUAGAUACCCCAGUAGUCCCUGUCUCUUAUAC